Molecule: long non-coding RNA, 2124 nt
Filed under: Malus domestica (apple)
Lineage: Eukaryota; Viridiplantae; Streptophyta; Magnoliopsida; Rosales; Rosaceae
Description: long non-coding RNA (MDOM_LNC015340)
Source: RNAcentral
UAUAUAUUAUGAAGUAUUGGAACAUAAUGAAAACAUGGGGAACAAGCAUAUAGUGUGUGUUCAUUUAAGUAUUUAACAAGUUUCAUACAAUUUAUUGAAAUAAAUUAAAUGCAAAAUGACAGUUAUAUAUUUUCUAUCUAAGUGAGUCGCAACCUAGGCAGGCUAGGCGAGUGCCUAAGCGGUCUAGAUGGCGCCUCAAUUGGUCUAGGAGCCCUUUCUUAAUUUUCAAACGUCUAGGCAUUAAUCGGGGCGAUGGGUAGCCACCUAGUGCCUAGGCAGGGCCUAGGCAGUGCUAGGUGGGGAUUUUUAGAACAAUGCUAUAUUAGAUCCUCCAACCUUUGAUAUCACAUGUUCAUAUUAAUCUGAUUGAUAAAUGCACAGUUCUGUUUAUUGUUAGGACUCCAUUUGAACUCUCCUUAAUCAUGAUAAAGAUAAUUAACGUGGAAUUAAAUUACUUAAAGUCAAAACCAUUGAGGGCGCUAAUCUCCUUGAUUAUAAGAUAUUAAGUUUACGUGAAAGAGCUGUGGUUUAAUAACUUGAUAAACAUGGAAGAUUAUAAGGCAACAACCACAUGAUAGUUGGGAUUCAAUUAAGAUAUAUGCCCAUAAAAGAGGUGUCCCCGCUCAUAAGAAAAUCACUUCAAAAUUAUCUGGCACUAUCACAGUUAGUAGAUGACUCUUGGUUUUCAUUGCACUUCCAAUCCUUUACAAUGUCAUCCUCAAGUAUAUAUUCUCUCCAUCCACCAUUCUAGCAUGCUUAAUCUUAUACUUGUGUAUGACAUGUGUGUGUUGAUACACACACACACACACACACACACACACACACACACACACACACACACGCACGCACGCACAUAAUGGCGGAUGCAUUGAGGAGCAGAAGGGUUAGCUGAUCCACCGAUCUUCAAUGAACAUCCAUGGAUACCUUGGGUGCUGACCAUCCGAACUUCGGUGAAUGUCCAUGGAUACCUUAGAUGCUGCCCUUUUGAAGAUUAUAGUUGGCUUCAUACAUGUCAUCCAACUGUUUGAUAAAAUGUCUGAAAGAAGAGUGAAUGAAAUGGUGAUCUCAGUGAAUAACAAAGCAUCAUCAUUCUUGGACAAACAUAUUAAUGGGAUGCAAUGAUAUCAAACAUUGCUAGUGUUCAAGAUAAGUGUGUUUCUUUGUUAAGCAUUCAUAUGGAAGCAGCCCUGGAACAUGUUAGUUACCUUUGCAAAUGAGGCAUUAACAGGUGUGCCUUAUGCCUUUCUAAAUGACUUCAGGCCUACCAAGACUCGAUGAAAUGGCGAUAUGCAUGUUAUUUCUGGUAAAAAAAAUUUUGCGUGCGCUAUUCUUACUGACCCUCCUAAUAUGAUUUCUUAGAUCCGCCACUGUGUAUAUAUAUUGUGAUCCUUGUCUAAGAUUAACCCUAAUUAGUUCUAACAUUUAUAACUUCCAACAUGUUUGAAUUUUCAUUUUGCCGCUUUAUUCAAAGAGUCGCCAUUUUUAGAGCAUGUUAUUUCUAACAUAUAUAAAUUCUUGUAUAUUUAGGAUAUCUAGGAAUAUUCUAUAGGAUUAGAUAUUAUCCUAUUAGAGUUGUAAUCUUAUUAGGGUAAGGAAUCAUCCUUCCCCACUAGUAUAAAUAAAGGCACAAUGGGGUGGAAUACAACACACCUCAUAAUUAAUCUCUCUCUUCUCUCUCUUGCUACCAGCCUCCCCCUCUUUAUUCCAUUAGAAUAGUUCAGUAAAUUAAGCUUACAACACGUUAUCAGCAUGUUCUUGCCAGAAACUAAAGAACUGAAGGAUCAUGGAUGAGACUUUAUUCUACAAAAUUCAAAGGCUUUUAUUUGUUCUCUGCCAAUCAGGUGCGCUUAACAUAAAGUAAGAUAUUUGAUACGACCAUGAAGUAUGAAAAUAUUCUCCAUGAUGCAUGAAACCCCUAUAUUUAUAUUUACCUUCCGAUAUAUAUUGUAUGUGUUUCAUAUAUUUGUCAAUAUAUAUAUAUACACACACACAUUUCAUGCAUUCAGCAUUAUUUAUUUUGUUAUGUCGAAUUUGUGAGUCAAAGCAUCGAAAUAAAUUAGAAGCAAUUAGCGUCCUUCAAACCCUAGAAAAGUUGAAAAAAAUAAAAACUAGGAUUUUUUUUUU